UCUUCUCCUUUAAGCAUUUAUUUAUUUGAUUAUUUAUUUUUUUCUUUCUAAAUUGUAAAAAUUUGGACACAGUUUUCUUUUCCAAGCUUUGAUUAUUAAGUAUAAAAGAGUCAUUAAACUUUUUUAAAAUUCUAUCAUUAAAGGUAUCUUAAUUCUUGCAUAUUACACAAUUCUAAUAAAUAAAUAAAUAAAUAAAAUAAAAUAAAAAAAAACUUGAUGAUUUUUGGUAAAACAAGGUCACUUAGAUAAAACUAAAUAAAUAAAUAAAUAAAAAUAAAAUAAAAACAUCGUCCUAACAAUAUUGGUUGGAUUCAUAAUUUAUUUAAUUAUUUAUUUUAAUUUUUUAUUACUUAGAUUUGUUUGUAGAUAUUGUAUUAAAACCAUGUCCUAUCUUGCCUUUGUUUUGACAUAAGUUAAUUUCUUUCCAGUCAUUUAGUUUUGUAAAAAAAUUACUUAAAUCUAUUAUAUCUAAAAAAACUGUUUUAAUAAUUUGGUUUGUUAAAAACUUUGUUGUGAUAUAUUUCAUCUUUUAUUUUCCACUUAAUAAAAUCAUAUCCUUAACUUAUUAAAAACUUUAGGAAUAUUUUUUUCUAUAAAUGAUUUGAUUUUAAUAACUUACUUUGCAUUAAGACCAUUAAAACAUCCUUAUUAAAUAAUCUCUUGACUACCAAGUUUAGUUCUACCAAUUUUUAGUAUUAUAACAAAGGCAUAAUUAUCUUCUUAUAGCUUCUUAUAUCAAAACUCAUAAUAACAAUGUUACAUUAGGUAUUUUGAAAGCUAAUUUCUAUAAUAUAUAAAUGUUAGAAAUAGUUUUUGUAAUUAAUAUUGUUGGUUUUAAAAUUUUAUUAAUUUAUUAUAAAUUAUAUACUUAAAAAAUAAAAAAUAGAAAAAAAUACUGUUCCAUUAGUUGAGUAUAAUAAUAUUAAUAUUUUGUGGUUUUAAUCAUAUUAUUCUUAAUAGAUAAAAAAAAGUUUUUGAACUACAAAUACUAUCAACUUGAAGCUCAAUUUUUUAUCAACUACAUUUAAAAUUAAUGUAGAAUGUUUUUUUUGUAAAAUAUACAAUUUAUUGCAGGAUAUGAUAAAAAAGAAAAAAGAAAAAGGAAACAUAUACAAGUUUAUAUACUAGGUGGAAAAUGAAGAAACAAAAAGAAAUAAGUUUUAUUGAUGAUUAAUUUUAAAAAGACCAAAACUUUGAUAGUGUAACUUAUUUGACUAAAAAUUAUGAUUUUUAUUUUUUUCAAAUUUGAUUGCAUUUCAAUGAUAUAUUUUAUAAUCUCUUAUUUUCAAAAUUACUUGAUUUAAUAGGUGAAAAUUUAUAUAAAUAUUUUUAUUGACUUUAAAAUGUAUCGUAUAUAAAAAUAUACAUAUAUAGAUAAAAAAAAAUUAAUCAAAUAAUCCAAAGUUGGAUUACUGUUAAGUUUUAUGUAUUAAAAAACCGAUUGGUUUAAAGACAAGAAACACAAUUGAACACAUAUUUAAAAUUUUAAUUAUAUAUAUAUAUAUAUAUAUAUAUAUAUAUAUAUAUAUAUAUAUAGUACACAACACUUCUAAUGGAAAAAAUUAUAUACAAUUAUCUUAUUAAAAGUAAAUAGAUAAUUUAUAGCUCAUGCGUUAUAAAUGUAAAUAUUUUUUUUCAAAAAAAAUAAUUUUUAGCAACCAAUAUUUCUUAAAACAUUAUCUUAUUAUUUUAUUAAAAUCAAAAUGUCCCUGAUUAGGAACAUAGUUACAUGUUUAUACAAUAUAAGGUUCAAGGAUGUAAAAAACUAUAUUCAAAAACAAAGCGACCAUUACUAAAGUUCAAUUCAUUAUUUAACUGAAUAUUAUAGGUUUGUUUAUUCCUUCGAAAACAUUAUUAUGGUGUUGCCAAAAGUAAAUGUAAAAUUUUAUUCAGUUUUAAAUAUGUUAAUUUUCAGACAAAAAUAUUGCAUUUCUUUUCUUAAGUGCCAAGUAUAAUCUAUAUAAAGAGCAUGUAGAAUUUGAGAAAAGGAUACAAUUGCCUUGGAUCUUCAAGCAUUAAUACCCUCGUCGACAUAAAAACAUCCUCAAACAUCUUAAAUAAUAUUUGGCAUCAUUGACCCAUGUAAAUGUUUCUUUUUCUAUCAACCUUGUUAGUAGAGUCCCAAAUUCUAAAAGUUAUCAUAAAAUAGUUUGUAGAAGUUUGCAAAUUUUGAUAAUCAUUAUAAACGAGUCAAUAAAUAUUACAUAAAAAAUUAGUAGAGAUACUUAAGACCAUUUUUUUUAAAAAUAUUUUCCUCAUGUUUAUAUUUUUUAUGUUUGAAGUACACAUUGAAAUUUUAUGGAUUAAAAUUGAAAAAAGUGAAACACCUAAAUAAAGUAAAAAAUGUCAUUUUUUAAUAUUUUUUUUGAUAAUAUUAAUUUUAUUAGAUUUUGUAAUAAAAAUAUUCUAUUCUCAAUUACGUUCUGUAUAUUCCUUUUACUCAUGUGUUCUUAUAUAUACAUAUAUAAAAGAUAAACAGAACAAUUCUCAAACAAAAUUGGUUUUCACAUUGUAAUUAGUAUGAACAUAUCUUGUAGGAGAAGCCAUCUCUGCAAUAUCUUUCGAUUGUCAAUAAAGACUACAUUUAUUUUAUUAUAUUUUAUUAGUUCUUUGUACAAUGAUCUUAAUGCAAUAUGUGUUCUAUUCAACGUCUUUUCUACCAAUGCUCUCUAAGUAUUCAAUAUGACUUUGUUGCUUAAUAUCCAAUAAGUUUCCCAACCUUGAAUUCUUAUGUC
RNAcentral lists this long non-coding RNA (2735 nucleotides) under Physcomitrium patens. Its description in RNAcentral is "long non-coding RNA (PPAT_LNC012599)". The record is from RNAcentral. Lineage: Eukaryota; Viridiplantae; Streptophyta; Bryopsida; Funariales; Funariaceae.